UACGUAGGGUCCGAGCGUUGUCCGGAAUCAUUGGGUGUAAAGGGUGUGUAGGCGGACUUGUAAGUCAGAGGUGAAAUCCUGCAGCUUAACUGCAGAACUGCCUUUGAUACUGCAGGUCUUGAGUCCUGGAGGGGUGGCUAGAAUUCGUGGUGUAGCGGUGAAAUGCGUAGAUAUCACGAGGAAUACCAGAGGUGUAGACGGGUCACUGGACAGGUACUGACGCUGAGGCACGAAAGCGUGGGGAGCAAACAGG
RNAcentral lists this unclassified non-coding RNA (253 nucleotides) under uncultured Bacteroidota bacterium. Its description in RNAcentral is "uncultured Bacteroidetes bacterium contains 16S-23S intergenic spacer region". It matches the Rfam family "Bacterial small subunit ribosomal RNA", at positions 524 to 776 of the family's 1533-position model. The record is from RNAcentral. Lineage: Bacteria; Pseudomonadati; Bacteroidota.